GAACAGAUAGCUCAAUUGGUAGAGUGUCCAACUAGAGUUCGGAAGGUCCCGGGUUCGAUCCCCGGUCUGGCCG
This is a non-coding RNA of Mizuhopecten yessoensis (Yesso scallop), 73 nucleotides long. NCBI's taxonomy places the organism in Eukaryota, Metazoa, Mollusca, Bivalvia, Pectinida, Pectinidae. The record is from the annotation of a RefSeq genome assembly.